AUGAACGCAACUAUUGAGCAUGACGAACACACUGACGCCCCCAAGCCUCUGCAACUACAGGGCUUUAAACAGGACGAACAAACAUACAAAGUGGACACAAGCAGAAGAAGACAGCAUAGGUUUCACAUCGUAACUCAGACCGCAGAAUCUUGUGCAGUGGGAGCAUUAAUCCCUCCCAGAGGAGGAAGAGGGCCGCUCCAGGAUGCCGGCAUGAGUGAGAAGCGCCCAGAGAUGUGUCAUGAACUCACCACCAGCGGACAGCUUCUCCCCAUGGAUCUCUGUAUUGUCAGAUGGCGCCAGGAAGAGUAUGAACUCUGCCCAAAAGUCGGCCAACACCUUCCAACGCUGCUCUUGGUCGGGGACCAUGUCUCUAAGUUGCCUCCCAAGCUUGGCUCCCAUAUAUAA
RNAcentral lists this ribosomal RNA (405 nucleotides) under Triticum aestivum (bread wheat). RNAcentral's name for it is "partial small subunit ribosomal RNA". The record is from RNAcentral. Lineage: Eukaryota; Viridiplantae; Streptophyta; Magnoliopsida; Poales; Poaceae.